Molecule: ribosomal RNA, 253 nt
Filed under: uncultured bacterium
Lineage: Bacteria
Description: partial 16S ribosomal RNA
Rfam family: Bacterial small subunit ribosomal RNA
Source: RNAcentral
UACGGAGGGUGCAAGCGUUAAUCGGAAUUACUGGGCGUAAAGCGUGCGCAGGCGGUUUGUUAAGUCCGCUGUGAAAUCCCCGAGCUCAACUUGGGAAUUGCAGUGGAUACUGGCAAGCUGGAGUAUGGUAGAGGAAGGUGGAAUUCCCGGUGUAGCGGUGAAAUGCGCAGAUAUCGGGAGGAACACCGGUGGCGAAGGCGGUUCUCUGGGCCUUACCUGACGCUGAGGAGCGAAAGCGUGGGAAGCGAACAGG